GCCCGCCGUCCCCGGCGCGACCGGAGCGCCUGACGCUGGGGGGCCGUGUGGGCCCUGACUUCCGGAGGGCUGGGCCCUGGUCCUCCGCCACCGCGUGCGCCCCUUAAAGACCCCUGCCCGCCGCCCAGGACGGAUGGCGACCCCGGCCCUAGCCUGUCCCCAGACCCUGGACCAAGGCCCCGGCCCUGCCCCGAACCCCUCAUCCCACCCCCAGGACCCAGGCCCCGACCCUGGCCACCCAGGACACGCCCUGGCCCUUCCCCGAACUCCCACCCCACAGCUGGGAUCAAGGUCCCGGCCCUGCCCGGAACACCUCACCCCACACCCGGGACCCAGGCCCCGGCCCUGCCCCGAACUCCCACCCCACACCCGGGACCAAGGCCCCGGCCCUGCCCCGAACCCCUCACCCCACCCCCGGGACCAAGGCCCCGGCCCUGCCCAGAACUCCCACCCCACACCCGGGACCAAGGCCCCGGCCCUGCCCAGAACUCCCACCCCACACCCGGGACCAAGGCCCCGGCCCUGCCCCGAAGGCCCCACCGGGGACCCAGGCCCCGGCCCUGCCCCAAACUCCCACCCCACACCCGGGACCAAGGCCCCGGCCCUGCCCCGAACGCCCCACCCGGGACCCAGGCCCCGGCCCUGCCCCAAACUCCCACCCCACACCCGGGACCAAGGCCCCGGCACUGCCCCGAACGCCCCACCAGGGACCCAGGCCCCAGCCCUGUCCCGAACUCCCGCCCCACACCUGAGACGAAGGUCCCGGCCCCGAAGUCCCAACCCCACACCCGGGACCAAGGCCCCGGCACUGCCCCGAACCCCCGCCCCACACCCCUAACCAAGGCCUCGGCUCAGCCCCGGAAUCCCCAACCCCACACCUGGGAUCAAGGCCCCGGCCCUUCCCCAAACCCCCAACCCACACCCGGGACCAAAAGGCCCCGGCCCCACGUUUCCUAGAGGCGCUGGGUUCGGGCCCACGUUGCAACGAGUCAGAUGCUCUUGGUAGCUCAGGGAGGUGUUCACACUCCUGCCGUUUCCGUGAGGAUGGUGACGACUCCGAACUAUAGCAGCAUACUCUACCUACCCCUGAUCAGUUUAUGGAAGAAAAGGAAACCAAACAAAGCAUGGAAGAUAUAAGGCACAGUUCCAUUCAGCAAGACAAACGGCAAAUAUGCUGUGGCUCUCGGGGGCAGGAUGGCCAUUGAGUGACCCACAUAUUCUGAGGCCAUCACAACCCCGUCCCAGGCAGUCAGAACACACCACGCAGUCCCAGAAAGGACGAAAGAAGUGACAGCCUGCUACGACAGAACAAAAUGUUCUGUGGCCCUGGAAGGAGGAGGCUGAGGAGUCUCCGAUUUUCUUGAUUGACUGAGGAAUACUGGUUUCUUCUUUAAAUGUAAAAACUCCCAAAUCAUGACCUUAAUGAAAUGAGUUUUUUGUUUUGUUUUGUUUUUUGAGACAGAGUUUCACUUUUGUUGCCCAGGCUGGAGUGCAAGGGCGCAAUCUCGGCUCACCGCAACCUCCGCCUCCCAGGUUCAAGCAAUUCUCCUGCCUCAGCCUCCCAAGUAGCUGGGAUUACAGGGAUGCGCCACCACGCCCGGCUCAUGUUUUUGUAUUUUAGUAGAGACAGGGUUUCUCCAUGUUGGUCAGGCUGGUCUCGAACUUCUGACCUCAGGUGAUCUGCCCACCUCGGCCUCCAAAAGUGCUGGGAUUACAGGCAUGAGCCACUGCACCCGGCCAAUGAAAUGUUUUUUAAAUUAACAAAUCAAACAAAAGUGGCUGAAAACUUACCACGCUGAAACUGCUGGCAGUGUGAUAGUGGACCUGAGACCUGAGGAGGGCAGCACGGGAGACCCCCAAGAGUGAGGUCCUCCUGCCUGGAGCUGCGCCGACUGCCCACCGCCCACCACCCACCACCGAGAUUCCUGCGCUGCUCCCUGCUGAUGGGGCCCAAGGCAUGCAUUCAUUCAGCUCACACACGGUCAAAGACCAAGCUCCAAAUACAAAGCCACGCUGCCUGGUUUUUAAAAUUAAACUGUUAAUUUUGAGAUAAUUGUAGCUUCAUAUGCAUUUGUAAGGAAUAAUACAGAGAGGUCUUGUGUAUUGUAUCUGGAGUACAGUGACCUGAUCUCGGCUCCCUGCAACCUCCGCCUCAAAGGUUCAAGCGAUUCUCCUGCCUUAGCCUCCCAAGUAGCUGGGAUUACAGGUGCCCACCACCACAACUGACUAAUUUUUGGCAUUUUUAGUAGAGACAGGGUUUCUCCAUGUUGGUCAGGCAGGUCUCGAACUCCUGACCUUAGGUGAUCCACCCACCUGGGCCUCCCAAGUGCCGGGAUUACAGGCGUGAGCCCCCGCGCCCGGCCUCAGUGGUCGCGUCUUGCACAACUGGGGGACAAUAUCAGGAUCCUGACUUGUGGCCCAGGCACAGACGUCCACCCCCACAGGACCUUCUGCUCCCUUUAAAGCCACAGAACUUCCCUCCCAUCCCUGCCUCCUUCUCAGCCCUGGUAAGGCCUCCAUUGCUGUACUUGGAUCAUUUCAAGAAUGUUCUAUAAAUGGAAUCUCAUGGUGUACCACCUUUUGGUCUGGACUCCCUUCACCAGGGCCACUCUGAAGGUUUGUUCAGGCCGUGGUGUGUGUGCCCAUAGCUCGUUCCUUUUCACUGCAGAGUAUACUCCAUAGUGUGGGUUAUGUCGUCUGCUUAACCACACACCGGUUCAAGGCCAUCUCGGUAGCUUCCAGUUUUUGACCAUGAUGAAUAAAGCUACUACGAACAGCUGUGUACCAGUUGUCAUGUGAACGUCAGUCUUCGUUUUCUCCGGGAUGAACACCCUGGCCCGAAGUUGCCAGGUCCGACAGUGGUUGCAUGUUUAGUUUGUUAAGAAACUGCCAACCCGUUUUCCAGGUGGCUGUACCAUCUUACAUCCCACCAGCCCCGAGUGAGUGAAUGAUCUCCAACCCAUUUCCCAGGCGGCUCUACCAUCUAACAUCCCACCAGCCCCACGUGAGUGAGUGAUCUCCAACCCGUUUUCCAGGCAGCUGUACCAUCUUACAUCCCACCAGCCCCGCGUGAGUGAGUGAUCUCCAACCCGUUUUCCAGGCAGCUGUACCAUCUUACAUCCCACCAGCCCCGCGUGAGUGAGUGAUCUCCAACCCGUUUUCCAGGCGGCUGUACCAUCUUACAUCCCACCAGCCCCGUGUGAGUGAGUGAUCUCCAAGUUGUUUUCCAGGUGGCUGUACCAUCUUACAUCCCACCAGUCCCACAUGAGUGAUCUCCAACCUGUUUUCCAGGCAGCUGUACCAUCUUACAUCCCACGAGCCCCAGGAACUUCAAACAGGAGACCAAGUGGUGACUUCAGGGACAUCCAGGGUGAUGUUGCAUCCCAGGACGAGAAGAGGCUGCCACUAGGAGCCACAGAUAGAGCUCCAGGGAGUUUAACAUACAACCUUUAAGAGGAAGAAAUUGCACCAGCCCAGAAUCAACUGCAUAACAGACAACCUUUAAAACGAAGAAAUCACACCAGCCCAGAACCAACUGCAUAACAUACAACCUUUAAAAGGAAGAAAUCGCAGCAGCCCAGAACCAACUGCAUAACAUACAACCUUUAAAAGGAAGAAAUCGCAGCAGCCCAGAACCAACUGCAUAACAUACAACCUUUAAAAGGAAGAAAUCGCAGCAGCCCAGAACCAACUGCAUAACAUACAACCUUUAAAAGGAAGAAAUCGCACCAGCCCAGAAUCAACUGCAUAACAUACAAACUUUAAAAGGAAGAAAUCGGCCUGGUGCAGUGGCUCACGCCUAUAAUCCCAG
Molecule: long non-coding RNA, 3811 nt
Filed under: Homo sapiens (human)
Lineage: Eukaryota; Metazoa; Chordata; Mammalia; Primates; Hominidae
Description: non-protein coding lnc-GTPBP4-3:11
Source: RNAcentral